RNAcentral lists this ribosomal RNA (314 nucleotides) under Paraphytis sp. JWK-4. RNAcentral's name for it is "eukaryotic LSU rRNA". It matches the Rfam family "Eukaryotic large subunit ribosomal RNA", at positions 666 to 944 of the family's 3401-position model. Lineage: Eukaryota; Metazoa; Arthropoda; Insecta; Hymenoptera; Aphelinidae. The record is from RNAcentral.
CCAAGGAGUCUAACAUGUGCGCGAGUCAUUGGGACUUUUUACAAAGCCUAAAGGCGCAAUGAAAGUGAAGAUCAUCCUUAGCGUUGAUCGAGGGAGGAUGGUUCGCGUACGAUGCGAGCUCGCACUCCCGGGGCGUCUCGUGCUCAUUGCGAGCAGAGGCGCACCUAGAGCGUACACGUUGGGACCCGAAAGAUGGUGAACUAUGCCUGGUCAGGACGAAGUCAGGGGAAACCCUGAUGGAGGUCCGUAGCGAUUCUGACGUGCAAAUCGAUCGUCGGAACUGGGUAUAGGGGCGAAAGACUAAUCGAACCAUC